AUUUCCAAGUCUUGUCAGCCAGGAGGGCUGGGUUGCCCACCAGGUGUGGCAGGAAACUGGGGUCCAGGAACAUCUGACCUGAAUCUUAAACUGGCACGCGUUGAAGAUGUUUGUGAACUUCUAUUUUAGUGAAUAACUGCAGCUCUUCUUUCUGUUGCUAUGAAAGCAGCUACUGACACUGCAUGUUGGACAUCUGACAGUUCAUGGGCUGAUAUCUCUGUAUGUUGCCUCUCCUGAUGAUGCGGCGUUACCUAUCAGUAACAAUUACACAACAUUAACUGUGAAAUAGAGAUAAUUGCUGAAUUAUUUUGAAUAUCUUGGGGAAAAGCUCUAUAAUUGCCUGAGAUGCAACAGAAGUAUGUCGUCUGUCUAAAACAAGAAAGGACUUGAUACAGAAAUCUCUCCAAUCUGAAUACAGCACUUUUUUUUACUAAAGUGUCUUGUAGCUGAAUUGUCAUCUGGAGAGAAUGAAAAGAGUGGAGUGGAAGCGUGGAAAGGGUGGAAAAGGCUGGAUUGCUCAAUUGUGAAGCAGCACCAGGCUGAUAUAGGAUACCACUGCCUAUUAUAUCUUCAGGCAGCAUCAGGCUGAGGGUAUGAGUAUUGGGGUCACUCGAGGCAGUCACUGCCCAUGCUCACCCAGAUGAGCAGUGCAGCCAUUAUGUCCCUUCCGACAUCAGCGUUUUUGGCAGUGUCCAUGUAGAAGUGGACCAGAUCUGAUGAGCUGUCCAGCCUGGGCCUGCUGGCAGAGUUGAGACUCUGAAAUAUUGUGCAAUUCUUCCUCUCCCUCGCAUAAGGCAGGAGCCUUCCUACCUCUGUUUACACUGCUAUCUCCUGGGCAGUUUUUCCAUUCUGCUUCAGCUGCUUUCCUCAGCAGAGCCUAUUAUGGCAAUGGCAUUCAUUUUCAAUCUGGCGUAGGCAAAAGGAGGGAGCAUUUGAAUGUUUGUUCAGUCAGCACGUGUGCCUAGGACACUUCUUUCUCUGGACUACAGACUCCUGUGAAGUGCUUCCACUGACAUUCUGGCAAAGGCUGGAACAAGAAAAGGAAAUCUCCCCAGAGUUCGACCUGUAGGAUCAAACUCAUCAGCCCCCAAGUAAGAGAAACCUACUUACCCAUAAACAUGAUGGCUGCAA
Long non-coding RNA from Chrysolophus pictus (golden pheasant), 1131 nucleotides. Lineage: Eukaryota; Metazoa; Chordata; Aves; Galliformes; Phasianidae. The record is from Ensembl.